Long non-coding RNA from Alexandromys fortis (reed vole), 639 nucleotides. RefSeq lists it as uncharacterized. The record is from RefSeq and is a predicted model, not a curated record. The transcript has 3 exons. Lineage: Eukaryota; Metazoa; Chordata; Mammalia; Rodentia; Cricetidae.
UCCAGGAACCUCCCAGGUUCUCAGUGGCAGACUGGGACCAUGGAGGCAUCCAGCCUUGUGGACUGAGCAGGUGCUGGGUUAUCGGUCCUUUCAAGGAGAGACAGCCAUUGUGGGAUUACUCAGACUACGAUGACCGCCAGGUUCAGAGGCAAGCAAGUACUGGAGGCUCAGCUUCCCAGGAACUCAGGAGCAGUUUGGCUGUACCAUUCUACCUCUGAAUCCACCACGAUGUUCCAGUCAGGACGAUGACCAAGGCUGGGAUCGUCAGAAGACUUGACGGAGGAUGGAGGGUCGACUUUGAAGGCCUCUCACACAGCCGACUUGAAACAUCUGUACUCUUCUCUGUGAUGGCCGUAUGCACCAGGCGAGAUUGUCACGAGGGUCUUAUUGCCUAUGGCCUGAUUGACCAGGGAAACCACAUGGCCACAGAGGACAACGCCCAGUAUUUGUCAUAGGAAGACACUCAACACUGGCUCACUGAUGCCAUCAACAAGUGUCACCCUUCGCAUGACGAUUGUCACUUAACUCUCUAAACCACUCACCAGUAGCUUACAUCACAAGCUGCUACCAUAUCUACUUUCCGAGUAUGCCAGUCACCUUAGAAUAAAUCCAUCUCAGACAAUAGAGACAAGAAUUCCA